RNAcentral lists this transfer RNA (73 nucleotides) under bacterium. RNAcentral's name for it is "tRNA-Gly". It matches the Rfam family "tRNA". Rfam says of the family: Transfer RNA (tRNA) molecules are approximately 80 nucleotides in length. Their secondary structure includes four short double-helical elements and three loops (D, anti-codon, and T loops). RNAcentral also lists the same sequence under 1 other name. The record is from RNAcentral.
GCGGAAGUAGCUCAGUCGGUAGAGCGCAACCUUGCCAAGGUUGAGGUCGCGGGUUCGAGCCCCGUCUUCCGCU